RNAcentral lists this ribosomal RNA (496 nucleotides) under uncultured bacterium. RNAcentral describes it as "partial 16S ribosomal RNA". It matches the Rfam family "Bacterial small subunit ribosomal RNA", at positions 29 to 507 of the family's 1533-position model. The record is from RNAcentral.
AUGAACGCUGGCGGCGUGCCUAAUACAUGCAAGUCGAGCGAACGGACGAGAAGCUUGCUUCUCUGAUGUUAGCGGCGGACGGGUGAGCAACACGUGGAUAACCUACCUAUAAGACUGGGAUAACUUCGGGAAACCGGAGCUAAUACCGGAUAAUAUUUUGAACCGCAUGGUUCAAAAGUGAAAGACGGUCUUGCUGUCACUUAUAGAUGGAUCCGCGCUGCAUUAGCUAGUUGGUAAGGUAACGGCUUACCAAGGCAACGAUGCAUAGCCGACCUGAGGGGGUGAUCGGCCACACUGGAACUGAGCCACGGUCCAGACUCCUACGGGAGGCAGCAGUAGGGAAUCUUCCGCAAUGGGCGAAAGCCUGACGGAGCAACGCCGCGUGAGUGAUGAAGGUCUUCGGAUCGUAAAACUCUGUUAUUAGGGAAGAACAUAUGUGUAAGUAACUGUGCACAUCUUGACGGUACCUAAUCAGAAAGCCACGGCUAACUACGUG